AUUCCUUUGUGGUAAGUGUGACGGUUGGGUUUUCAUGCUCAUGUGUGAAAUGUGCAUCUCUCAAACCAUGUUGUGACAUCAUAUUACCUGUCUGAUG
This is a small nucleolar RNA of Callithrix jacchus (white-tufted-ear marmoset), 97 nucleotides long. The record is from Ensembl. NCBI's taxonomy places the organism in Eukaryota, Metazoa, Chordata, Mammalia, Primates, Cebidae.